This 497-nucleotide ribosomal RNA is filed under the name uncultured bacterium. RNAcentral describes it as "partial 16S ribosomal RNA". It matches the Rfam family "Bacterial small subunit ribosomal RNA", at positions 28 to 507 of the family's 1533-position model. The record is from RNAcentral.
GACGAACGCUGGCGGCGUGCCUAAUACAUGCAAGUAGAACGCUGAAGAGAGGAGCUUGCUCUUCUUGGAUGAGUUGCGAACGGGUGAGUAACGCGUAGGUAACCUGCCUGGUAGCGGGGGAUAACUAUUGGAAACGAUAGCUAAUACCGCAUAAAAUGGAUUAUCGCAUGAUAAUCCAUUGAAAGGUGCAAAUGCAUCACUACCAGAUGGACCUGCGUUGUAUUAGCUAGUUGGUGGGGUAACGGCUCACCAAGGCGACGAUACAUAGCCGACCUGAGAGGGUGAUCGGCCACACUGGGACUGAGACACGGCCCAGACUCCUACGGGAGGCAGCAGUAGGGAAUCUUCGGCAAUGGACGGAAGUCUGACCGAGCAACGCCGCGUGAGUGAAGAAGGUUUUCGGAUCGUAAAGCUCUGUUGUAAGAGAAGAACGAGUGUGAGAGUGGAAAGUUCACACUGUGACGGUAUCUUACCAGAAAGGGGCGGCUAACUACGUG